UCCGUUAUGGUGUAGUGGCUAACAUUAUCGCCUCUCAUCUUACUAAGAGCGCGAUAGCCCAGGGUUCGAUUCCCUGUAACGGAA
This is a transfer RNA of Moniliophthora roreri MCA 2997, 84 nucleotides long. It matches the Rfam family "tRNA". From Rfam's summary of the family: Transfer RNA (tRNA) molecules are approximately 80 nucleotides in length. Their secondary structure includes four short double-helical elements and three loops (D, anti-codon, and T loops). NCBI's taxonomy places the organism in Eukaryota, Fungi, Basidiomycota, Agaricomycetes, Agaricales, Marasmiaceae. The record is from Rfam.